GCUGGGAGAAUUAUUGAUGAGUUGAGUUUUAUUUUAGUUUAAUUAAAAUAUUGAUUUGUAGAAUUAAUUUAUUGAAAUUAUUGGUUAUAUAAUAGUGUAUAGUAAUGUGGAUGAAUUUUUUGAGGUGGAAUGAAGAAGGGGGUUUCUGUACCUUGUGUCUCAGGGUUAAUUAAUUUUUUUGUUUUAUAGUUGUUUCCCGAAUCUUUAGGAGCUAAGCUAAUAUAAAUAUAUUUAUGUGAAAAAAUAAUUUUAAAUAUUGGUUUAGAAAUGAAACGUUAAUCGUCUAAUGAUAUAUCUGGUUAUUCUAGAAAUCAAUUUAAUUGAGGGUUUAAUUGGGGAGAAUCUAUUUUUAGGUUUUACUUGAAUUUAAGCUUAAAAUGUUCUGGGGAUAAGCUCGGUUCAUUAAUUCUAUAAAUUUGAAAUUUGUAAUUAUUUGUAGUAUUGGAAUUUUACAUUUUAUUUUGUUAUAAAUAUUAAUUUGAAGUUAUAAUUUUUUUUUUUUUAGGUUUUUUAUAGAUUUUUAAUUUUAAAUGUUAAAUUUUUAGUGAUAAUGGUUAAAUUAGUAAAAUUAAAUUAAGUAGUUUAUUUUAAAUUUGAUUUUAGGUAAAUUUAAGGAAUUCGGCAAAAUAAUUUUUCACCUGUUUAUUAAAAACAUGUCUUUCUGAUUUGAUAGAAGGUCUGGCCUGCCCACUGAUUAUUUGAAUGGCUGCAGUAAUUUGACUGUACAAAGGUAGCAUAAUCAUUAGUUUUUUAAUUGGAAGCUGGAAUGAAUGGUUGGAUGAAAAAGUUACUGUCUCUAGUUUAUUUUUUGAAUUUUAUUUUUGAGUAAGAAAGCUUAAAUGUUUAUAAAAGACGAGAAGACCCUAUAGAGUUUAAUAAUAAAUUCUUUUUAAUUUUAGGAAUUCAUAGAUUGAUAAGGAUAAUUUAUUUGAUUGGGGUGAUUGUAGAAUUGGAGAAACUUAUAUUUGUAAAAACAGAAAUUUCUGGGUUUUUGAUCCAUUUUUUGUGAUUAAAAGAUUAAAUUACCUUAGGGAUAACAGCGUAAUCUUUUUUGAGAGUUCUUAUCGAUAGAAGGGUUUGCGACCUCGAUGUUGGAUUAAAGUUUAUUGUGGGUGUAGAAGCUUGAUAAUUAGGUCUGUUCGACCUUUAAAACUUUACAUGAUCUGAGUUUAAACCGGUGUGAGCCAGGUUGGUUUCUAUCUUUAUUAUAUUAUUUUGCUUUAGUACGAAAGGACCAGGUAAUAGAUUAAUAAUUUUGUUUUUGAUUAUUAUU
Molecule: ribosomal RNA, 1273 nt
Filed under: Cucujoidea sp. 37 KM-2017
Lineage: Eukaryota; Metazoa; Arthropoda; Insecta; Coleoptera
Description: 16S ribosomal RNA
Rfam family: Bacterial large subunit ribosomal RNA (bases 848-1204)
Source: RNAcentral